AAUUAGGAGGUGGAGGCAAUAUCAGUUCAGGGUCUUUGGCCACAUGAGGAGAUUGAGGCCAGCCAUGUGCUGUGGCAUGAGGAACAACGACCAGCAAUGAGAAAAUGAAAUAUAAAAAUUGGCUGCUCAGCUUUGAUACUGCUGACUGCUGACCUGGCCAGGUGCAUCCUGUUCACCAAAGUCUCACCCAACAGCUGUGGCUUCACCCACCAAAAAUCACAAGCAAGUGGCCCAGCUCCAAAUCCAAAUGUGUGCAUGCAUUGCCAUGGCUCAGGUACUGUUUCAACUCAGCCGCACAGCUCUCAGGAUCCAUGAGAGUCCAGCAUGCACACACCUGAAAGAAACAGUCCUGGAGCCUCAAGCAGUACUGAGGGGUGUGGGCCUCUGCCUCACUCCCCAGUGGAACUGAUCUUGGCAUUCUUUUGGACAGAAGAGAGCAAAGUGAUGGGGACAAGCAACCUGCAGUCUACCAUGCUGGAAGGGCAUGGCUUGAAUCCACCAGACCUAGACCUUUCUGCUAUUGACG
RNAcentral lists this long non-coding RNA (526 nucleotides) under Rattus norvegicus (Norway rat). RNAcentral's name for it is "long non-coding RNA NONRATT011835". Lineage: Eukaryota; Metazoa; Chordata; Mammalia; Rodentia; Muridae. The record is from RNAcentral.